Molecule: ribosomal RNA, 317 nt
Filed under: uncultured Actinomycetes bacterium
Lineage: Bacteria; Bacillati; Actinomycetota; Actinomycetes
Description: bacterial SSU rRNA
Rfam family: Bacterial small subunit ribosomal RNA
Source: RNAcentral
GACGAACGCUGGCGGCGUGCUUAACACAUGCAAGUCGAGCGGAAAGACCCUUCGGGGUACUCGAGCGGCGAACGGGUGAGUAACACGUGAGUAACCUGCCCUAGGCUUUGGGAUAACCCUCGGAAACGGGGGCUAAUACCGAAUAUGACCUCCUGUCGCAUGGUGGGGGUGGAAAGUUUUUCGGCCUGGGAUGGACUCGCGGCCUAUCAGCUUGUUGGUGGGGUAAUGGCCUACCAAGGCGACGACGGGUAGCCGGCCUGAGAGGGCGACCGGCCACACUGGGACUGAGACACGGCCCAGACUCCUACGGGAGGCUG